GGGGCGGCCAUAACUGCAGUCGAGCGAACCACUUCGGUGGGAAGCGGCGAACGGGUGAGUAACACGUAGGUGAUCUGCCCAUCAGACGGGGACAACGAUUGGAAACGAUCGCUAAUACCGGAUAGGACGAAAGUUUAAAGAUGCUCCUGGCAUCACUGAUGGAUGAGCCUGCGGCGCAUUAGCUAGUUGGUGGGGUAAAGGCCUACCAAGGCGACGAUGCGUAGCCGACCUGAGAGGGUGAACGGCCACACUGGGACUGAGACACGGCCCAGACUCCUACGGGAGGCAGCAGUAGGGAAUCUUCGGCAAUGGGCGAAAGCCUGACCGAGCAACGCCGCGUGAAUGAAGAAGGCCUUCGGGUUGUAAAAUUCUGUUAUAAGGGAAGAAAGGUGAUAGGAGGAAAUGACUAUCAAUUGACGGUACCUUAUGAGAAAGCCACGGCUAACUACGUGCCAGCAGCCGCGGUAAUACGUAGGUGGCAAGCGUUAUCCGGAAUUAUUGGGCGUAAAGAGCGCGCAGGUGGUUAAUUAAGUCUGAUGUGAAAGCCCACGGCUUAACCGUGGAGGGUCAUUGGAAACUGGUUGACUUGAGUGCAGAAGAGGGAAGUGGAAUUCCAUGUGUAGCGGUGAAAUGCGUAGAGAUAUGGAGGAACACCAGUGGCGAAGGCGGCUUCCUGGUCUGCAACUGACACUGAGGCGCGAAAGCGUGGGGAGCAAACAGGAUUGGAUACCCUGGUAGUCCACGCCGUAA
This 750-nucleotide ribosomal RNA is filed under the name uncultured bacterium. RNAcentral's name for it is "bacterial SSU rRNA". It matches the Rfam family "Bacterial small subunit ribosomal RNA", at positions 39 to 805 of the family's 1533-position model. The record is from RNAcentral.